RNAcentral lists this transfer RNA (109 nucleotides) under Actinomycetes bacterium. RNAcentral's name for it is "tRNA-OTHER". RNAcentral also lists the same sequence under 1 other name. The record is from RNAcentral. Lineage: Bacteria; Bacillati; Actinomycetota; Actinomycetes.
GCCCGAGUCCCGAGAUACCGCUCUGGAACAGGCCAUCCACGACGAUUGGACGGACGAGCCUACUCUCGUAAUGCGUAGGUCCGGAGUUCAACUCUCCGUUCGGGCUCCA